Myxocyprinus asiaticus (Chinese sucker) is the source of this 2202-nucleotide long non-coding RNA. RefSeq lists it as uncharacterized. The record is from RefSeq and is a predicted model, not a curated record. Lineage: Eukaryota; Metazoa; Chordata; Actinopteri; Cypriniformes; Catostomidae. The transcript is spliced from 3 exons.
AUUUAUUAGUCGUUGGGUUUGCAGUUUGGUGGUAUCAUUUUAAGUAUAACCUCAUUACUGUCAGUUAUGUUAUAUAUGCUCUGUAUGAUUGCCAUAUUUUAACUAACCGUUCUUGUGAAACGUGUUUCACUCACUCGAGUAUCUGCUCGUGUUUGUGUUUCAUCAGUACACUCAUGUUUCUCUUCAUAUCGUAUAAAUCUUUCGCCUUUUACUAAAGAUUUCCGUGGGGAGGAACACAAUGAGUAUUAAAUAAUUUUUUGAUGCCCCGCUUUAUUGUGGGGCUUCCUACAGAUGUUUAAAAUCAGAUCUGAAUAUAGUAAUGUUUCAAUAUAGCUUGUAAAUAUAAUGAUGUUCUUAAAAUACGGAAUAGUUACUAUGUCAUGAUAAGUGUAAUGUAGUCUACAAGUGAAUGAUUUGUGAUAAAGUAUGUAGUUUGGUCUUUAUGCUGAUUCUUUGACUGUUUGUAGCGAAUCUGCAGCUUUAAUGUGUUCAAACUGAAAGAAAAGGGAAAGUAACGCUGCAUGUUUUGUUACGAUCUGUUUCUCGUUUCAAUUUAACAUAGUUGUGUUAUUGCCUGUUAUUCGUUGUAUUUAUGUCUGUAACUGUUUACAUGUCUGAUGACCUGCUAAAUGGUGGGGCUUCUGUUGCAGUAAAAAGUAAUAUUUUAUUAAAGUACUUAUCAGGUAUUGCAGUUUGUACAGAGAAGUAUAAUUGUGUGUCAGAUGUUGUUAUACUAACUAUACUAACGAGGAUGAGCUUAUGUUGUUUUGGGUACAUCAGACUGGACCCAUAACACACAUAAUCAUAAGCAUUUUCAUGCCGUUAUUUGCUGUAGCAUCCUCGUUAGUAUAGUGGACAGUAUCUCCGCCUGUCACGCGGAAGACCGGGGUUCGAUUCCCCGACGGGGAGAAUUAUUGUUUUUUACAUUAUUAUUUAAAAGGUCAAUGGUCCGAGGGGGCAAAUCAGAGAUCUUUAAGGUCUACAAAGACGUUAAUGGGCAAUUGCGAACAAACGUGUCCAACUUUACACAAUGCUUUAUCUCUUUUUUUGUGUAUUGUGGGGCAGCAUUACUGGUUUGGAGACAAAGUGGAUCCUCUGCCUUUUUUUUUUUUACUUUGAUCUGUAUAAUUUAAGGUUUAUUUAGAAACUAAUAAUGAACAUUAUGGGAAACAAAAACACCUUUGUUAUUUUAGUUGUGAUCGAUUUGUUUGCAUGCAAUUGCCCAUUAAUGUCCUUUCAGACCUGUAAGAUCUCAGAUUUUCCCAUUCUGCCAAUUGACAUAAAAAAAAAAAUAAAAAAAAACCCCAAAAAACAUAUUUCUCCCCGUCAGGGAAUCGUUUACCAAUAAUUAUCUAGUUCAUCCUGUUUAUGACAUAUUAAAUUGCACAUACUACAGUAAUACUAUUCAACUUAUAAUGCGUAAUGUGUUUUCAGGAUCACCUGCGGCUGCUAAAUGUGAGCCCAAAUAUCCAGCUUUGUAUAUCACCAGCAGGGACACGGGAGAGAGGUUUGGCCUACAGUAUGUGGAGCUUGGCUGUCGCCCACUGCCUCUUGACUUUGACAAACACAAGUGCAGAAAAUCAGCCCUAGGUGAUGUGGAGAUGCAGCAGGAGCUGGAGGCCUCUAAGCAGAAGGGGCAGAGAGAAAGAGGGUGACUGAUGAGAGAGGCAAAAGGAAGUCUCUAGUGGAGCAUCCUUCCGGUCGUCUUUGCAGGGAAUGAAAACAGAGAUGACAUGGACUGACUUUCAGCAGUCUCCAUUCUAUGAAGCUGAGCGGAAAAGGUGGAUAGAGGAGAAAAUAAAAUAAGCCAGAAAAACACAGCAUUUGAAAUCUGUGUUAAACACAUCAGACUGCAACAGUAAAGCCGAGCACAAUGUUGUUAAACAUCCACAAACACACAAUGUAACAUACUGUGUAAUACUGUCAUGUUACAAAAAUCCAUACAAAUCUCAUUUUAUUGGUUGCCUUUAAUAUUUAUCUAUUUAUUUAAUUACUUUAAUGUAUAAUAUUUGUAUGUACAGAGAUUGUAUACUUGCCAAAAGUUUUAAUCCGGAGACAGCACUAGAAAUAAAAACAGCCCAUACAUUCUCUCUACUAUGGAUAUUUUCCCUUUUAUAUUUGAAAGUAUAUUUUUUUAUGUUAAUAAAUGUUUAAUAUUUUGAUCUUGCUUGUAUUUUAAAUGUUUUGCACUUAGUAAGGGUU